Molecule: ribosomal RNA, 254 nt
Filed under: uncultured bacterium
Lineage: Bacteria
Description: partial 16S ribosomal RNA
Rfam family: Bacterial small subunit ribosomal RNA
Source: RNAcentral
UACGUAGGUGGCAAGCGUUGUCCGGAUUUACUGGGCGUAAAGAGCGCGUAGGCGGCUCGGUAAGCCGGAUGUGAAACCUCCAAGCUCAACUUGGAGCGGCCAUUCGGAACUGCUGUGGCUAGAGUCUGGUAGGGGAACACGGAAUUCCUGGUGUAGCGGUGAAAUGCUUAGAUAUCAGGAGGAACACCAGUGGCGAAGGCGGUGUUCUGGGCCAGUACUGACGCUGAGGCGCGAAAGCGUGGGGAGCGAACAGG